CCUACGGGAGGCAGCAGUAGGGAAUAUUGCUCAAUGGGGGAAACCCUGAAGCAGCAACGCCGCGUGGAGGAUGAAGGUUUUCGGAUUGUAAACUCCUUUUGUUAGAGAAGAUAAUGACGGUAUCUAACGAAUAAGCAACGGCUAACUCCGUGCCAGCAGCCGCGGUAAUACGGAGGGUGCAAGAGUUACUCGGAAUCACUGGGCGUAAAGAGCGCGUAGGCGGGAUAGCAAGUCAGAUGUGAAAUCCUAUGGCUUAACCAUAGAACUGCAUUUGAAACUGUUAUUCUAGAGUAUGGGAGAGGUAGGUGGAAUUCUUGGUGGAGGGGUAAAAUGCGUAGAGAUCAAGAGGAAUACUCAUUGCGAAGGCGACCUGCUAGAACAUAACUGACGCUGAUGCGCGAAAGCGUGGGGAGCAAACAGGAUUAGAUACCCUAGUAGUC
RNAcentral lists this ribosomal RNA (440 nucleotides) under uncultured bacterium. RNAcentral's name for it is "partial 16S ribosomal RNA". It matches the Rfam family "Bacterial small subunit ribosomal RNA", at positions 338 to 795 of the family's 1533-position model. The record is from RNAcentral.